AUAGCCAUAAACUAAUUGCAUUCU
RNAcentral lists this non-coding RNA (24 nucleotides) under Arabidopsis thaliana (thale cress). The record is from RNAcentral. Lineage: Eukaryota; Viridiplantae; Streptophyta; Magnoliopsida; Brassicales; Brassicaceae.